UCUUCAUUUCACAUAUUUUCUCAUCGGUCAGAGAGGCGAGAGAGCGUAGGAAAUGAAGAGA
This 61-nucleotide microRNA precursor is filed under the name Pristionchus pacificus. RNAcentral's name for it is "mir-8364 microRNA precursor family". It matches the Rfam family "mir-8364 microRNA precursor family". The record is from Rfam by way of RNAcentral. Lineage: Eukaryota; Metazoa; Nematoda; Chromadorea; Rhabditida; Neodiplogasteridae.